GAUGAGGUGGCUCAGCGGUUAAGGUGAUGGACUGCUAAUCCAUUGUGUUCUGAAUGUGUGGGUUCGAAUCCCAUCUUUAUCA
Non-coding RNA from Silurus meridionalis, 82 nucleotides. NCBI's taxonomy places the organism in Eukaryota, Metazoa, Chordata, Actinopteri, Siluriformes, Siluridae. The record is from the annotation of a RefSeq genome assembly.